GCCAAUUACUGUGGGCCCUUUUUACCUAACCAACCCUGUCAACUUUCCCUGUGGGAGGAAACCGGAGUACCCGGGGAAACCCACGGCUUUCGGCAGAGCGUUGACUUUUACUCUUUUCACAUGGGGACUGGGUUCGAGUCGCAUUGAGAAGGUACUUAGUGAGACUCGAACCUGCAGCCUCAGAGGUGAAAGGCAAGUGCGCUAACCACUUGGCCACCGAAG
RNAcentral lists this long non-coding RNA (222 nucleotides) under Paramuricea clavata. Lineage: Eukaryota; Metazoa; Cnidaria; Anthozoa; Malacalcyonacea; Plexauridae. The record is from RNAcentral.